This 1487-nucleotide ribosomal RNA is filed under the name Cylindrospermopsis raciborskii CS-505. RNAcentral's name for it is "bacterial SSU rRNA". It matches the Rfam family "Bacterial small subunit ribosomal RNA". Lineage: Bacteria; Bacillati; Cyanobacteriota; Cyanophyceae; Nostocales; Aphanizomenonaceae. The record is from RNAcentral.
AAACGGAGAGUUUGAUCCUGGCUCAGGAUGAACGCUGGCGGUAUGCUUAACACAUGCAAGUCGAACGGGAUGCUUAGGCAUCUAGUGGCGGACGGGUGAGUAACGCGUGAGAAUCUGGCUCCAGGUCGGGGAUAACAGUUGGAAACGACUGCUAAUACCGGAUGUGCCGAGAGGUGAAAGAUUUAUUGCCUGGAGAUGAGCUCGCGUCUGAUUAGCUAGUUGGUGGUGUAAGGGACCACCAAGGCGUCGAUCAGUAGCUGGUCUGAGAGGAUGAUCAGCCACACUGGGACUGAGACACGGCCCAGACUCCUACGGGAGGCAGCAGUGGGGAAUUUUCCGCAAUGGGCGAAAGCCUGACGGAGCAAUACCGCGUGAGGGAGGAAGGCUCUUGGGUCGUAAACCUCUUUUCUCAAGGAAGAAGAAAGUGACGGUACUUGAGGAAUAAGCAUCGGCUAACUCCGUGCCAGCAGCCGCGGUAAUACGGAGGAUGCAAGCGUUAUCCGGAAUGAUUGGGCGUAAAGGGUCUGCAGGUGGAACUGAAAGUCUGCUGUUAAAGAGUUUGGCUUAACCAAAUAAAAGCGGUGGAAACUACAGAACUAGAGUGCGGUAGGGGCAAAAGGAAUUCCUGGUGUAGCGGUGAAAUGCGUAGAUAUCAGGAAGAACACCGGUGGCGAAAGCGUUUUGCUAGACCGUAACUGACACUGAGGGACGAAAGCUAGGGGAGCGAAUGGGAUUAGAUACCCCAGUAGUCCUAGCCGUAAACGAUGGAUACUAGGCGUGGCUUGUAUCGACCCGAGCCGUGCCGGAGCUAACGCGUUAAGUAUCCCGCCUGGGGAGUACGCACGCAAGUGUGAAACUCAAAGGAAUUGACGGGGGCCCGCACAAGCGGUGGAGUAUGUGGUUUAAUUCGAUGCAACGCGAAGAACCUUACCAAGACUUGACAUCCUGCGAAUCCCGGUGAAAGCUGGGAGUGCCUUAGGGAGCGCAGAGACAGGUGGUGCAUGGCUGUCGUCAGCUCGUGUCGUGAGAUGUUGGGUUAAGUCCCGCAACGAGCGCAACCCUCGUUUUUAGUUGCCAGCAUUAAGUUGGGCACUCUAGAGAGACUGCCGGUGACAAACCGGAGGAAGGUGAGGAUGACGUCAAGUCAGCAUGCCCCUUACGUCUUGGGCUACACACGUACUACAAUGCUACGGACAGAGGGCAGCAAGCCAGGGAUGGCAAGCGAAUCCAGAAACCGUAGCUCAGUUCAGAUCGAAGGCUGCAACUCGCCUUCGUGAAGGAGGAAUCGCUAGUAAUUGCAGGUCAGCAUACUGCAGUGAAUUCGUUCCCGGGCCUUGUACACACCGCCCGUCACACCAUGGAAGUUGGUCACGCCCGAAGUCAUUACCCCAACCGAAAGGAGGGGGAUGCCUAAGGUAGGACUGGUGACUGGGGUGAAGUCGUAACAAGGUAGCCGUACCGGAAGGUGUGGCUGGAUCACCUCCUUU